AACUAACGCUGGCGGCGCGUCUUAAACAUGCAAGUCGAACGGAUGUAGCAAUACAUUAGUGGCGAACGGGUGAGUAACACGUAGGUAAUCUACCUCUGAGUCUGGAACAACCUGAUGAAAAUCAGGCUAAUACUGGAUAGUAUUAAUUUGGCGAAUGUCGGAUUAAUUAAAGCAUUUAUGCGCUGAGAGAUGAGCCUGCGGCUGAUUAGCUAGUUGGUAGGGUAAUGGCUUACCAAGGCGACGAUCAGUAGUUGGUCUGAGAGGACGGCCAGCCACACUGGGACUCGAGACACGGCCCAGACUCCUACGGGAGGCAGGCAGUGGGGAAUUUUGGGACAAUGGGCGCAAGCCUGAUCCAGCAAUGCCGCGUGAGUGAAGAAGGCC
Molecule: ribosomal RNA, 384 nt
Filed under: uncultured bacterium
Lineage: Bacteria
Description: bacterial SSU rRNA
Rfam family: Bacterial small subunit ribosomal RNA
Source: RNAcentral